This 133-nucleotide ribosomal RNA is filed under the name Microcebus murinus (gray mouse lemur). The record is from RNAcentral. Lineage: Eukaryota; Metazoa; Chordata; Mammalia; Primates; Cheirogaleidae.
GCAUACAGCCAUACUACCUUGAUCGUGACCGAUCUUGUCUGAUCUUGGAAGCUAAGCGGAGUUGGGCCUGGUUAGUAGUUGGAUGGGAGAAAAUAAUGCAUGUGACCUCAAAUCAAAAUAGGAUCCACAUAUA